Molecule: ribosomal RNA, 200 nt
Filed under: uncultured bacterium
Lineage: Bacteria
Description: partial 16S ribosomal RNA
Rfam family: Bacterial small subunit ribosomal RNA
Source: RNAcentral
AGAGUUUGAUCCUGGCUCAGAAUCAACGCUGGCGGCGUGCCUAACACAUGCAAGUCGAACGAGAAAGUGGAGCAAUCCAUGAGUACAGUGGCGACCGGGUGAGUAACACGUGACCAACCUGCCCUCGAGUGGGGAAUAACUCCGGGAAACCGGGGCUAAUACCGCAUAACAUCUUCGGAACGCCGGUUCUGAAGAUCAAA